GCCAAAAAGCUUGUUCAGGUU
This 21-nucleotide microRNA is filed under the name Bos taurus (domestic cattle). RNAcentral describes it as "bta-miR-2285af". Lineage: Eukaryota; Metazoa; Chordata; Mammalia; Artiodactyla; Bovidae. The record is from miRBase by way of RNAcentral.